RNAcentral lists this ribosomal RNA (495 nucleotides) under uncultured bacterium. Its description in RNAcentral is "partial 16S ribosomal RNA". It matches the Rfam family "Bacterial small subunit ribosomal RNA", at positions 28 to 507 of the family's 1533-position model. The record is from RNAcentral.
GACGAACGCUGGCGGCGUGCCUAAUACAUGCAAGUAGAACGCUGAAGGAGGAGCUUGCUUCUCUGGAUGAGUUGCGAACGGGUGAGUAACGCGUAGGUAACCUGCCUGGUAGCGGGGGAUAACUAUUGGAAACGAUAGCUAAUACCGCAUAAUAUUGACUAUUGCAUGAUAGUCAGUUGAAAGGUGCAACUGCACCACUACCAGAUGGACCUGCGUUGUAUUAGCUAGUUGGUGGGGUAACGGCUCACCAAGGCGACGAUACAUAGCCGACCUGAGAGGGUGAUCGGCCACACUGGGACUGAGACACGGCCCAGACUCCUACGGGAGGCAGCAGUAGGGAAUCUUCGGCAAUGGACGGAAGUCUGACCGAGCAACGCCGCGUGAGUGAAGAAGGUGUUCGGAUCGUAAAGCUCUGUUGUAAGAGAAGAACGAGUGUGAGAGUGGAAAGCUCACACUGUGACGGUAUCUUACCAGAAAGGGACGGCUAACUACGUG